AUGAGGGAGAGCCCAUUGAGGGUGAGGCCAAACUCAUGGAGCAUCAAUGAUCAGGGGAUUACAGUUAGAGAAGCAAUUGAUAAGGAUUGGGGUGGUUUCACCUUCAGAAGAGCUCUGUAUGGGGAUACUGAGCAACUUUGGAAUAGCAUGAGAGCAAGAUGUGAGGAAGUUUUGAUGCAUGGGGGGAGGGACAAAUCCAUGUGGAUGUUGACUGCUGAUAGAAAAUUCACUGUCAAAUCACUAUACAGGGAUCUGAUCAAGUCUGAUAAAGAUAGCAAGAAACUUAUAAUGGUUGGCGUCUCAGCGCUGUUGUGGGCGAUCUGGAGAAGUAGAAAUAACAUUGUGUUUGAUAGAAAAAUGAUUUCUGACCCAAUGGGUAUUGUGAAAAUGAUGUGUGGAUGGAUUUCUGACUGGGCUGUUUUGCAGAAAAAGUGCCCAGGGGAAAGAAUGUUGAUGCUGGGAGCAAAACUCAUCGUGCAAGUAGCAAGUGAUGUCUACAAAGCUGCGCAAGGCUGGCGUUUUGAAGUCCUUCGAAUCCAGCAGUGA
RNAcentral lists this ribosomal RNA (546 nucleotides) under Triticum aestivum (bread wheat). Its description in RNAcentral is "partial small subunit ribosomal RNA". Lineage: Eukaryota; Viridiplantae; Streptophyta; Magnoliopsida; Poales; Poaceae. The record is from RNAcentral.